GACGGAGGGUGCAAGCGUUGUUCGGAAUUACUGGGCGUAAAGCGUGCGCAGGCGGUUUUGUAAGUCAGAUGUGAAAUCCCCGGGCUUAACCUGGGAACUGCGUUUGAAACUACAAGGCUAGAGUGUGGCAGAGGGGGGUGGAAUUCCACGUGUAGCAGUGAAAUGCGUAGAGAUGUGGAGGAACACCGAUGGCGAAGGCAGCCCCCUGGGUUAACACUGACGCUCAGGCACGAAAGCGUGGGGAGCAAACAGG
RNAcentral lists this ribosomal RNA (253 nucleotides) under uncultured bacterium. RNAcentral's name for it is "partial 16S ribosomal RNA". It matches the Rfam family "Bacterial small subunit ribosomal RNA", at positions 524 to 776 of the family's 1533-position model. The record is from RNAcentral.